AGGACGAACGCUGGCGGCGUGCCUAACACAUGCAAGUCGAACGGGGGCGCGACAUAACCGAGGCUUCGGCCGAGGCGUUGCGCCUUAGUGGCGGACGGGUGAGUAACGCGUGGACAACCUGCCGCCUGCUGGGGGAUAACAGGGGGAAGCCCCUGCUAAUACCGCAUAAGCCCUUUCUGGGACAUCCCAGGGAGGGGAAAGGUUUAUCCGGCAGGCGGUGGGUCCGCGUCCGAUUAGCCAGUUGGCGGGGUAACGGCCCACCAAGACCGCGAUCGGUAGCCGGACUGAGAGGUUGAUCGGCCACAUUGGGACUGAGACACGGCCCAGACUCCUACGGGAGGCAGCAGUGGGGGAUAUUGCGCAAUGGGGGCAACCCUGAACCGCAGCAACGCCGCGUGAAGGAUGAAGGUUUUCGGAUUGUAAACUUCUUUUAUCAGGGACGAAGCUUGACGGUACCUGAUGAAUAAGCUCCGGCUAACUACGUGCCAGCCGCGGC
This 496-nucleotide ribosomal RNA is filed under the name uncultured bacterium. RNAcentral describes it as "bacterial SSU rRNA". It matches the Rfam family "Bacterial small subunit ribosomal RNA", at positions 26 to 518 of the family's 1533-position model. The record is from RNAcentral.